UUUUUUUUUUUCUCUAUGCGACUUCUUCUCCUUCUCUUCCUCUCCGCGACUUCUCUUUCUCUUGUUUUUUCUUCUAUCUUUUUAUCCGUCAAAUCAAUUAAUAAAGAUUCUUCUUCUCUCUUGUUCCUUCUUCUAUCUCUUUCAAUUAACCAUGAAAUUAGAUCUGAAAACCAAAAGCGAAAACAAAUCUACAGUGAUUCAGAACUUCAUGUGAUGAUGAAGAAGGUGACGAAAACGGAGAAGAGAAGGGUUUACACAAGCUGCAUUGACUCUAGGUUACGAGGCAGGGAUUAAUAAACCAAACAUCGAUGAGAUAUAAUUCCACCUGGUACAUGGGGAUGGAAGCUAACUUGAGCAAUGUAGUAGUUAUUCCUACACGGUGUUAGACUGAGUUAUGUUUUUUUACUCGUAGGGCGAAAGUGGACACUGAUGAGGAUUUAUAUAUUAUUCUAUCAACCAUUGGAUCUAAUAGUUAC
Brassica napus (rape) is the source of this 476-nucleotide long non-coding RNA. RefSeq lists it as uncharacterized. The transcript is spliced from 2 exons. NCBI's taxonomy places the organism in Eukaryota, Viridiplantae, Streptophyta, Magnoliopsida, Brassicales, Brassicaceae. The record is from RefSeq and is a predicted model, not a curated record.